UUAUUUGAUUUUCUUCGGAACUGAAGAUUUGGUGAUUGAGUGGCGGACGGGUGAGUAACGCGUGGGUAACCUACCCUGUACAGGGGGAUAACAGUCAGAAAUGACUGCUAAUACCGCAUAAGACCACAGCACCGCAUGGUGCAGGGGUAAAAACUCCGGUGGUACAGGAUGGACCCGCGUCUGAUUAGCUGGUUGGUGAGGUAACGGCCCACCAAGGCGACGAUCCAUAGCCGACCUGAGAGGGUGACCAGCCACAUUGGGACUGAGACACGGCCCAAACUCC
This 283-nucleotide ribosomal RNA is filed under the name uncultured Eubacteriales bacterium. RNAcentral's name for it is "uncultured Clostridiales bacterium partial 16S ribosomal RNA". It matches the Rfam family "Bacterial small subunit ribosomal RNA", at positions 62 to 339 of the family's 1533-position model. The record is from RNAcentral. Lineage: Bacteria; Bacillati; Bacillota; Clostridia; Eubacteriales.